GGACUGUGAUAGUGGUGAUUUAUAACAAAUAUAUUUGAUCUUUGUCCCAGGUCUGGCACAGAGCUCCUAAAACCCUUGGAAUUUUCUAAGUGGUGAGAGCUAAGGUGUCUUUUGUUAUGUUAAUGACAUUCUUAGACAGAACCUAAGAAUGGGAGCUGGUUGCCAAGGAACCAACCAAGAAUAUAGGAGUGGAACUUUCAGUACCACCCUCUGACAUCCAGACUGCACAAAGGAGCUGGAAGUUGAAUCAUUCACUUCUAGUGAAUGACUUAAUCAAUCAUGCCUCCGUAGAUCGUGUCAGGAUUGAGUUGAAUUGUAGGACAUGCAGCUGGUGUCUGGAGAAUUGCCUGUUGGUGUGGGAACCUCCCCACAACUAGACACACACACAUUGGGAUUUGGUGAUCAGGAUUACCUUUUACAGGUUAAGCAACUGGUCCAGGACUGCAUUUUCAAGAGAAACCCCAGAACUGACCACUAUAGUUCCUUCUCCAGUGUCAGAGAGAUCUCCAGAUAAAGAUGCACAGAAGAGUGCCACCUUGAAGGUGUCUGAUUUUUUGAUAGGACUACCUGAAGCAGACGAUGGCAUAGUGUGCUAUAGACUGAGAAGGUGGUGUGAAGAUGUGCAAAGAAGAGGUGAAGAGGAGGAGGGGAUGUUAUUCAGUGUUAUUUCGGUUACCACUCCUCCCCAUUUAAAGGACUGUAACCAUGGCAACUGGGCCCAACUAAAGAGAAGGCAAUGAUGGCUAGUUUUCUCCCUGCAAUAAACUACAGUUAUCCUUUUUUACAAGA
This is a long non-coding RNA of Herpailurus yagouaroundi (jaguarundi), 789 nucleotides long. RefSeq lists it as uncharacterized. NCBI's taxonomy places the organism in Eukaryota, Metazoa, Chordata, Mammalia, Carnivora, Felidae. The record is from RefSeq and is a predicted model, not a curated record. The transcript has 4 exons.